GCCACCUCCAAAUUAUCAUUUUUUCCUCCCUUUUUCUUUUUCUUCUUCUUCCUAUCUCUAAUCUUCCAUUCUUUUUACCAAACGAACAGCAAAAUCUCUCCCGAAUCCUUUCUUCUUCGUUUCAUCUCCAUCAAUUUCGCACCCUAAAUCUCUAUUAAACUCAAUUUCGACUUUAGAGUACAGAGUUUGGAUUCGAUUGAUUGAAUAUUCAAUAUUCUCUAACCUGUAACCCUAAAUUCAAAAUUGGAUGAAUUUGAACGAACCACCACCACCAUCACCAAGUUCGUCCUCUGCUUUCUAAUUGAAUAUUGGGUGAAUUCAUUGAAUUACUUCCACGAUUUCUUGACAGAGAAUCAUCAACCAUUUUUUCAGGAGAUCCCAAUUUAUUUUUUUCUCGAAGAUUGCAAACUUCAGAUUUGGGUAAAAAAAUUCUGAUUGAAGAACAAUUUGUGGUUAAUGCUUUUUGUUGGAGUCAUCAAUUGUUUUGGAAUAGCAUAGGGUGGUGAAGAUACAAAUUGAAAUGAUGCAGACCCCAAUCUGGGUAAGAUUGUAGUUUAUGGCGCUUCUUAUCCUGCCAUCUCCAAGGUUCACUUCCUCUACAAAGGCACUUUGCGUGUUCUGCUGGUGCUGAUUCAUGAGUUAAUACCAACGGAAAGUGAUUACCAUUCCGAUAAAAAGAAAGCCAAUAAACUGAAAGCAAAUGAGGUCUCUAUCGAUGCUGAUGAUCUUGAAGUGAAGCGGAGGGGAAAGAAUAAGAAGACUUCAAGAGAUAGAAGAAGGAAGAAGAGACAAAGAUUUUAUUCUUCUGAAUCCGAUAGUUCAUCGGAUUCUGAAACGUAAUCAUCUGAAUUCGAUAGCGACUCGGAUUCCGGUUCCGCCUCUGAUUUUUCUUCAUCAUCUGACAUUAGUCCAAGUCUGGUAAAUGUUGAUAGUCCAGGGUUGCAAUAUUGGCAAAAUUUUGUUUCCUGUAACAAGUUUUGCUUGUAGUGCUUGCAAGUCAUUGAAGGUGGUAUUCCAAGUCUGGUAAAUGUUGUAUAUGCAGUGUGGUUCAUUACUUUCACCAGGCCUUAGUUGUUACCAGAUGAAGACAUUAUUGCUGGAGUAGUUUCUGAUGGAAGUUUCUUUCAGUAGUGAAUUUAGAUUUAACUGUCACUGUAGCAGCAGAGAUAGUAUUGUGUUUAUUGUUCCUUCAUUUGUUAUGGGUAAGAGGAAUCGAUGGAAUUUUUGUUGGUAGAUAUAGCUUGGGUAUAAGAUUAUUGCGUCAA
RNA transcript from Papaver somniferum (opium poppy), 1265 nucleotides. It is a transcript of the gene named peptidyl-prolyl cis-trans isomerase CYP95-like, with no coding region annotated. The transcript has 4 exons. NCBI's taxonomy places the organism in Eukaryota, Viridiplantae, Streptophyta, Magnoliopsida, Ranunculales, Papaveraceae. The record is from RefSeq and is a predicted model, not a curated record.